RNAcentral lists this transfer RNA (69 nucleotides) under Marmota monax (woodchuck). Its description in RNAcentral is "tRNA.Ala". The stretch from base 4 to 64 matches the Rfam family "tRNA", at positions 6 to 65 of the family's 71-position model. From Rfam's summary of the family: Transfer RNA (tRNA) molecules are approximately 80 nucleotides in length. Lineage: Eukaryota; Metazoa; Chordata; Mammalia; Rodentia; Sciuridae. The record is from RNAcentral.
GGAUAUAGCUUAGUGGUAUAGUGCUUGCCUAGCAUGCAGUGGGCUCUGGGUUCAAUCCUUAGUAACACA